RNAcentral lists this ribosomal RNA (495 nucleotides) under uncultured bacterium. RNAcentral's name for it is "partial 16S ribosomal RNA". It matches the Rfam family "Bacterial small subunit ribosomal RNA", at positions 28 to 507 of the family's 1533-position model. The record is from RNAcentral.
GACGAACGCUGGCGGCGUGCCUAAUACAUGCCAGUAGAACGCUGAAGGAGGAGCUUGCUUCUCUGGAUGAGUUGCGAACGGGUGAGUAACGCGUAGGUAACCUGCCUGGUAGCGGGGGAUAACUAUUGGAAACGAUAGCUAAUACCGCAUAAGAUUGACUAUUGCAUGAUAGUCAGUUAAAAGGUGCAAUUGCAUCACUACCAGAUGGACCUGCGUUGUAUUAGCUAGUUGGUGGGGUAACGGCUCACCAAGGCGACGAUACAUAGCCGACCUGAGAGGGUGAUCGGCCACACUGGGACUGAGACACGGCCCAGACUCCUACGGGAGGCAGCAGUAGGGAAUCUUCGGCAAUGGACGGAAGUCUGACCGAGCAACGCCGCGUGAGUGAAGAAGGUUUUCGGAUCGUAAAGCUCUGUUGUAGGAGAAGAACGAGUGUGAGAGUGGAAAGUUCACACUGUGACGGUAUCUUACCAGAAAGGGACGGCUAACUACGUG